Molecule: ribosomal RNA, 468 nt
Filed under: uncultured bacterium
Lineage: Bacteria
Description: partial 16S ribosomal RNA
Rfam family: Bacterial small subunit ribosomal RNA
Source: RNAcentral
GACGAGCGCUGGCGGCGUGCUUAACACAUGCAAGUCGAACGGAAAGGCCCUGCUUUUGUGGGGUGCUCGAGUGGCGAACGGGUGAAUAACACGUGAGUAACCUGCCCUUGACUUUGGGAUAACUUCAGGAAACUGGGGCUAAUACCGGAUAGGAGCUCCUGCUGCAUGGUGGGGGUUGGAAAGUUUCGGCGGUUGGGGAUGGACUCGCGGCUUAUCAGCUUGUUGGUGGGGUAGUGGCUUACCAAGGCUUUGACGGGUAGCCGGCCUGAGAGGGUGACCGGCCACAUUGGGACUGAGAUACGGCCCAGACUCCUACGGGAGGCAGCAGUGGGGAAUAUUGCACAAUGGGCGGAAGCCUGAUGCAGCAACGCCGCGUGCGGGAUGACGGCCUUCGGGUUGUAAACCGCUUUCGCCUGUGACGAAGCGUGAGUGACGGUAAUGGGUAAAGAAGCACCGGCUAACUACGUG